RNAcentral lists this ribosomal RNA (800 nucleotides) under Arthrobacter sp. Its description in RNAcentral is "bacterial SSU rRNA". It matches the Rfam family "Bacterial small subunit ribosomal RNA", at positions 82 to 893 of the family's 1533-position model. Lineage: Bacteria; Bacillati; Actinomycetota; Actinomycetes; Micrococcales; Micrococcaceae. The record is from RNAcentral.
UGCUCCUGGAUUAGUGGCGAACGGGUGAGUAACACGUGAGUAACCUGCCCUUAACUCUGGGAUAAGCCUGGGAAACUGGGUCUAAUACCGGAUAUGACUCCUCAUCGCAUGGUGGGGGGUGGAAAGCUUUUUGUGGUUUUGGAUGGACUCGCGGCCUAUCAGCUUGUUGGUGAGGUAAUGGCUUACCAAGGCGACGACGGGUAGCCGGCCUGAGAGGGUGACCGGCCACACUGGGACUGAGACACGGCCCAGACUCCUACGGGAGGCAGCAGUGGGGAAUAUUGCACAAUGGGCGCAAGCCUGAUGCAGCGACGCCGCGUGAGGGAUGACGGCCUUCGGGUUGUAAACCUCUUUCAGUAGGGAAGAAGCGAAAGUGACGGUACCUGCAGAAGAAGCGCCGGCUAACUACGUGCCAGCAGCCGCGGUAAUACGUAGGGCGCAAGCGUUAUCCGGAAUUAUUGGGCGUAAAGAGCUCGUAGGCGGUUUGUCGCGUCUGCCGUGAAAGUCCGGGGCUCAACUCCGGAUCUGCGGUGGGUACGGGCAGACUAGAGUGAUGUAGGGGAGACUGGAAUUCCUGGUGUAGCGGUGAAAUGCGCAGAUAUCAGGAGGAACACCGAUGGCGAAGGCAGGUCUCUGGGCAUUAACUGACGCUGAGGAGCGAAAGCAUGGGGAGCGAACAGGAUUAGAUACCCUGGUAGUCCAUGCCGUAAACGUUGGGCACUAGGUGUGGGGGACAUUCCACGUUUUCCGCGCCGUAGCUAACGCAUUAAGUGCCCCGCCUGGGGAGUACGGCCGCAAGG